CCCUUUUAGUUGGGGAAUCCUGGUUUAUAAGAAAAUGUUUAUGUCCUUAUAAUAGUUUGUCAGGUGACCGUUCCUUGAAUACUAAGAGAAAAGUUCCCUCCUGUAUAACUAUGUUUACCCAUCUCUCAAUCUUUUGAGUUUGUUGUCUUUGAUUGAAUAUGUUUAUGCAAAUUCAUUUACCUACUCUUUUCCUAUUUAUGUCUCUGAAUAUCUAUCUGAGUGUGCUGAUUAUUUGUGUUUUAUUUCAGGUUCGCCGACGCUCCCCACCGAACGACCGCCCCGCCGACCUCCAGCUGUGUGUGUGGGUCCCUUCGUCCCCCCACCCCCCACACCACCGGCCUCCUCCUAAAGAACAGUCAUCAGCGGUUGGUGGGUUGUCAGGCCCGAAACCUCACCCUUGUUACAUUGCGAAGCCACUGUAGACUUCGAACCUCAUGAACCAUCGAAGCAACAGGUGGAGGGUCGGCGCGGGAGGCAGUAACUCUUGACCACUCCCAGGGAGAGAGGUGCACAGCCACUCCUCGACGAUUCCCACUACCUUCCCGCCCCCAGCCAUUAUUGAACCUCGUCAGCCGGCACUGUAUGGAUGUUAGAUUGCAGGACAUCUGACCUUGUCAUGAUAUCAAUGUAUAUGAUCUGGACUGGCCUGCAGGAUGCGGAGAAGAGAAACAAUCUGACCACAUACAUCAUCAGUAUAUGUGCUUCAGACUUCUUGUCAAGUAUGAGUCAUCAAUGAAAAGGUGAUCUGCUCACAGCACUCAACAUUGAAUUACUACUUGGGUAAAGUGCAAUUAACCUAUAUUAUAUUGACUAUGAUUAAUGUUUUAUGAGAAUUUAACUGAUUGCAUUGCAGGGAACAAAAUUAGUGCUCCUCAUAAAUGUAUGCCAUGCACUCAACUUCACAUAUGCUAAUCAUGAAAAUGCUUUACCCAUUCCUGAUAACAAUACCCCAGCCUCUCUCUUUGUUGGUUUGUGCCAGUGUACUUUGUCAACCACGAGCCAUUAGUGAAGUCACGUCCUCCAGCUCACAGCCAGCAUGCACUCCUCGUAUUCUGUGUGAACAGAUGCUUUGUUGAUCAGCUCUCCCUCUUCUGGGUUGCCAGUUGCUCUAAAUGAGUCAUGGAUGACAGGAACAGUAGAUCAAAUUAUUAGAUGACAUUAGUGUUAGGCACCAAAUGAGGGAGACUUGAGCAAGCCAGAAUUUGUGAGUAUUGUGAGGAAUGGGUGAAACAUUUCAAAGAUAGUAUUGGUGUAAAUAUGUCCAUAGCUAACCUUGUUCUUUUAAGCCCCAGGAGUCUUUCCUCAUGACUGACAUUUCUCAUGAAAGACCUGGAGGGUAUGCUCUUUCUUAGGAACAGUCCUUGGGAAGUCUUUUUGGGUUACCACAAUUGUAGUACAGGCCCUAGAGCCAGACUAACUUGCAACUGAAGGGAGGCUGAUGAACAAAACACAUAACCAAGCAAGCUACAAGAGCAGUGAGGGUGUGUGUUGUCUGUGAACUGGAUGGAGUGUGUGCCAUCGGUAAUAGCCCACAUGGCCAGCAUAAUGCACUGACAUCCAACAUACAUUAAUGAGGAGCACUGCAUACUGCUAUACUUAGUUCUUUAGUCAUGAGGAAAAUCAAAACUACAGCAAACAGAUAAGAUUUUUUUAUCAAAUGUAUAUAUAGUAAACAGGUAAUAGGUUUCUUUAUUUAACAUAUAAAUAUUAUAGCUAAAUUCUAUAUAGUGCCUGCAAGAGAAAUUUACAUAGAAGUGCAAGAAAAUCUACACGUAAAAGUGAGUGCUCUUUACACUUGCAUAGCCAUCACAUUGUUGGCAGGAAGACUUAAUCCUACGUCUGGUAGAUGAACAGAUAACUAUAGGGGGAGGAGAGCAUGUAGGACACUCACUACUAACUGAGCUGUUGAUCUGCAUGUGUGUACUGUUGAUAGCUCCAUUGUCUUCCUUGCUCUCAUAUAUUCUACUUGGAGGCAUCACCAUGGAGGUCUGUAAGCUUAAUAAAGAAGAGGAAGUUCUUGGCUUGACUCAGUUGGUAAAAUGUGGCUUUGAUAUGUGAAUCAAGAUAGUUGGGUGACAUGCGAGGCUAUUUUCGAUAUUAUCAAGACCAUGACCAGGUGGACAAUUGGCAUUGGAUUGAAUACAAACAUUUCUUUGAUUGACAAACUUUUCAAAUUUUUGAUAAGCUUCAGUCUUGGCCCUCUUGGGAGAUGUCUUUUUAUUUUCUGACUUGCUGCCUAUUUACCACCCAGGGAUGACACUGUUGAGGCAGGCCCGCAGCAGCCUUGAUGAAGUCGAAAAUAGCCCAUGUGUGUUAACCAAAUAUCUUGAACCACACUUCACAAAACCAAGACCUACCAACUGAGUCAUGGUAUGAGCAUCCUCUUCUUUAGUAAGCUAAUGGCAUCCCAUGGUGACACCUCAAAGUAGAAUGAGCGAGGUCCAAAAACAGCUUUAACUGCAUAGGCAGGAGAUGGUGGAGUGGCCAGCAGCACAUCCAUUCAAAUUGAAUGCUCAAUGAGCAACGAGGGUCUUGCACACUUUUCUCUCUUUAGCUAUCUGGUCAGCUACCAGACUUACAAAUGAGUCUUCCUGCGAACGAGGUGGUCGUUACACAAGUGUAAAGGAUUCACUUUCACAUGUAGAGUUUUCUUCUGUUUCUGAUGUGUAAAUUUCUUUUGCAGGUCCUAUACCUCAGUGCAGGUCCAAAUGCCUUGCCAACAUUUCCCACUAGUGGUUAGCAUGUUUUGUUCACUACAGUCCAUCAACCUCAAGCUUGUGACUGGAGGAAAUAGUUGAUUUUGUAAUCUUAUUGAUUGGAUUUUCACUUCAGGAAAACAACCUGCACAACUUAGAAAUUGGCUGCCUCAUAAGAAGUUUCAUUGUUAUUCUUUGUAGCUCACUAAUGUUGCACAAUACUUUUCUUUGGACAACUCAACAACUUCCUUCCUCUGUCAUCUGAAAUCUGAUAACAAUCAUAUCCAAAACUUAAUGGCAUGCCAUUAUCUUUAUACAGGAACCUGAAUAGUCCUUGAAAAAAUUUGGCAUGAAAUAGAAAAUGUGAAGAGCAGCAUUGUGCAACAUAGGAGAUCUACAGAGAUUAAAUGCAACUCUUAGUGUAGAGACCAGUUUCUAGGUGUGCAGGAGACUGGCUGCCUCAAAAUGCUGUUCAGUCAGCAAUAAGUGAAGUCACCUACAGUUAUGAAUAUAGUCAUGAUGGAUGAGUAGUAAAUAUAUAGAGAGAAUGAACAUAUUUUCAGCACAGGAUAUGAAGCACAUAGCUCCAUAUGUUAUAUAUUAGGCACUUAGAAGCAAAGCAGAGUAUUCCAUAAGACCAUUGUUUUGAGAAAUGAAGUUACAAAGUCUGGUUAAGCAUACAUCAAUGUGAUUAUCUAGAUUAUCUAUUCAAGUAUUGUUUUGCCAUGUGUUUGUCACCAUACACCAUACUAAAAAAAAAUUCCUGAAUCAUACAUUAUUUUUAAAAAUAACGUCAUAGAAGGUUCACAUCGUAUGGAAGUUUUGUUCUACAUCGAUUAUAAAGUAUUAAUUUUUUUGGGGUGUGAAUUUUUUCAGUGAGCUGCAAAAAAGACGCAUACAACUGACGCUGCAUGGGGUGGCGCUGUUGUAUGAUUGUCUGAGCCAAGAUGUGUACUGGGAGGUGUGCGUGCGUUGACUGCCAGCCUCUGCUUCUUUAACUCCAAACUGGUUUGUACUAUGGAGCAGGCAAAAACACGUUACAUCAAACCUACAUUACAUCCACCACAUGGUUGCUUUUCCCUUGGCAUUUUAUUGUCUGUGGCUUUUGAGACCCUCAGUAGCAGUAAAUGGCUGCUGAGGGUCUCAAGUCACAUACAAUAAAAUGUUUGAAGUCUUUGUGUUUUUGCCCGCUCCAAAGUACAAACCAACUUAAGUUAUAGAAGCAGAGGCGUAAAUCUCCUGGCAGCCAAUGCACACAUGC
This is a long non-coding RNA of Eriocheir sinensis (Chinese mitten crab), 3957 nucleotides long. RefSeq lists it as uncharacterized. The record is from RefSeq and is a predicted model, not a curated record. The transcript has 3 exons. NCBI's taxonomy places the organism in Eukaryota, Metazoa, Arthropoda, Malacostraca, Decapoda, Varunidae.